This 344-nucleotide ribosomal RNA is filed under the name uncultured marine eukaryote. RNAcentral's name for it is "SSU rRNA". It matches the Rfam family "Eukaryotic small subunit ribosomal RNA", at positions 1 to 356 of the family's 1831-position model. The record is from RNAcentral.
AACCUGGUUGAUCCUGCCAGUAGUCAUACGCUCGUCUAAAAGAUUAAGCCAUGCAUGUCUAAGUAUAAAUGCUUUAUACUGUGAAACUGCGAAUGGCUCAUUAUAUCAGUUAUAGUUUAUUUGAUAGUACCUUACUACUUGGAUAACCGUAGUAAUUCUAGAGCUAAUACAUGCGUAAAGUCCCGAUGGGAUGUACUUAUUAGAUCGAAACCAAUGCGCUUCGGCGGUAUUUUGGUGAGUCAUAAUAACUGUGCGGAUCGUAUGGCCUUGUGCCGACGAUGAAUCAUUCAAGUUUCUGCCCUAUCAGUUUCGAUGGUAGGGUAUUGGCCUACCAUGGCGUUAAC